UACAGAGGGGGCAAGCGUUAUUCGGAAUUAUUGGGCGUAAAGGGCGCGUAGGCGGCUUGGCAAGUGGAAGGUGAAAUCCCUCGGCUUAACCGAGGAACUGCCCUCCAAACUGCUUCGCUUGAGACCGGGAGAGGUGAGUGGAAUUCCCAGUGUAGCGGUGAAAUGCGUAGAUAUUGGGAGGAACACCAGUGGCGAAGGCGGCUCACUGGACCGGCAUUGACGCUGAGGUGCGAAAGCGUGGGGAGCAAACAGG
Molecule: ribosomal RNA, 253 nt
Filed under: uncultured bacterium
Lineage: Bacteria
Description: partial 16S ribosomal RNA
Rfam family: Bacterial small subunit ribosomal RNA
Source: RNAcentral